UCUUCUUGAACUUCUGGGAUCUGGCCU
This 27-nucleotide non-coding RNA is filed under the name Rattus norvegicus (Norway rat). The record is from RNAcentral. Lineage: Eukaryota; Metazoa; Chordata; Mammalia; Rodentia; Muridae.